Molecule: non-coding RNA, 68 nt
Filed under: Rhodosorus marinus
Lineage: Eukaryota; Rhodophyta; Stylonematophyceae; Stylonematales; Stylonemataceae
Source: RNAcentral
AAAGCCAAAAUUUUAGAGGAAUCUCUUCGACUACUUUUUUUUUUUUUUUUUUUUUUUUUUUUUUUUUU